GUGUGUGAACCGUUGGCGGC
RNAcentral lists this microRNA (20 nucleotides) under Aedes aegypti (yellow fever mosquito). RNAcentral's name for it is "aae-miR-11912". The record is from miRBase by way of RNAcentral. Lineage: Eukaryota; Metazoa; Arthropoda; Insecta; Diptera; Culicidae.